UAUUACUAAGCGGAGGAAAAGAAACUAACCAAGAUUGACAUAGUAAGGGCGACUGAACUGUCAUGAGCUCAGCAUGUGAAUCCGCGUCCGCUCGAGCGAGCGCUGAAUUGUGGUCUUACGGUUCUUGCGCCACACGGUCCAGACCACGUUUUUUGGAAUAAAACAGCACAGAGGGUGAAACUCCUGUUUGUUUGGCCAACCGAGGCAAGAACCAACGAGUCGAGUUGUUUGGGAUUGCAGCUCAAAUGCGGUGGUAAAUUCCAUCUCUAGCUAAAUACUGGUAGGAAACCGAUAGCGUACAAGUACCGUGAGGGAAAGAUGCAAAGAACUUUGAAAAGAGAGUGAAAGAGUACCUGAAAUUGCUGAAAAGGAAGCGAACGAACCUAGUGACAGCUACGUCAUACUUUCCACCGUGCUUGCAAGGUGGACGCUGUGGCGAGCCCUGUUCGACUUGAUGACAGAUCCAUGUGCAAACUGGUGCUCGAAAGUUACUUUCUUGCGCCUCCCGCACGUGCUCUCAUCGAGCCGAACGAAAUAGAUUUGUUUGCCCCGUCUAGAAACACGGACCAAGGAGUCUAACAUAUGUGCGAGUACUGGGGUAGCAAACCUUGGUGCGCAAUGAAAGUAACAGCGGCUAGAAUGUGCUGGGCAACGCAGAGUCCGCCGGCCACAAUCCCGCGGGAAAAUGGUCUGAGUGUGAGCAUACAUGUUGGGACCCGAAAGAUGGUGAACUAUGCUUGAGUAGGGUGAAGCCAGGGGAAACUUUGGUGAAGGCUCGCAGCGAUUCUGACGUGCAAAUCGAUCGUCAAACUUGAGUAUAGGGGCGAAAGACUAAUCGAACUAUCUAGUAGCUGGUUCCCUCCGAAAUUUCCCUUAGGAUAGCUGCAAUCUAGUACAAACCAGUUUUGUCA
Molecule: ribosomal RNA, 911 nt
Filed under: Pinnularia borealis complex sp.
Lineage: Eukaryota; Bacillariophyta; Bacillariophyceae; Sellaphorales; Pinnulariaceae
Description: partial 28S ribosomal RNA
Rfam family: Eukaryotic large subunit ribosomal RNA
Source: RNAcentral